CAUAGAUAACAAUAAUUGACUUACAAUCCUACUAGUGAUAGUAGUAGUUGGCAUACAAUACUAUAAUGGAUAAUAGUAAUUUCUAUUUUGCCGAUUAUAAUCUUAUCACAAGUAUAACAAUAACCUUAGCAUUUAAUCUAUAGAAGUAAUUUAAAUUAUAAUAUGAUUAAAUGUCAAAUAUUUUAUGACUUUGCUUAUAUUAUAUACAUGAAAUCGUGUGUAUAAAUAUUAAUUUAUGUAUGCAUUACUAGCUUUAUGACUUAUUUUAUUAUAUAAUAUCAUAAAAUAUUUUAAUCUUAAAAUAAUUAUUUUUUCUAAAUAAAUUUGUGUGAAAAUUUAUACUUAAUCUGAUAAGAUUGUAUCAAAUUUACUCGAUGAAUUGGGUCACUAAAAAUAAAGGAUAAUCCACACUUAGUUUGAAUUCAUACCAGCAAGUUUGAUGAUUUUAUAGCACAAUUUUAGAUCUUACAAUUGAUCACUUUGAAUUUUGAUGUUCUGAAUCUUGAUGUUUGAAUUUUGAUUUAGUCAUUCUG
Molecule: long non-coding RNA, 533 nt
Filed under: Elaeis guineensis (African oil palm)
Lineage: Eukaryota; Viridiplantae; Streptophyta; Magnoliopsida; Arecales; Arecaceae
Description: long non-coding RNA (EGUI_LNC001746)
Source: RNAcentral